AUUUUUUUUAUUUGUUUUUUCUUUGUUCGCUCGAGUAAGUUAAGCAGCUUCUUCCUCUAUAUAAACCUCUCUUUGGUGGAGGGAUGAAUCACAGACUGAAAGCUUGAGAAGUGCAACUCUCAUUACAGUCUUCUAAGGGCUAAGUUUUGUGAAGCAGAAAUGGCCAAGAUCUUCGAGACCAAUCUUACAAGAAAUCAUACAAGCAGGUUUAGGUUCCAGCAUAAUGGCAACGCACUUCCAGGUGUUUUGAGGGUUACGGACGAGCUAGGAAGAGAGUGGUGGUUUCAAUGCGAGGGUCAGGGAGGCGACUAUACCAUCUCCGGGAAUCAGUGGAGGAAUUUUGCUGCACCCAAUAUCCACGCUGCGAUCACUCUUUACAGAGAAGAUGGUGAGAACAACUUUAGUAUUAUAGUAAGGCCAUCAUCAGCUUGAUCAACUUGAUCAACAUCUAGAAAUCAAGAAACCAUCGGUUUUAAAGGUCCUAAGCUUGUUUGCUUUUUCUUUAUUCACGUAAGGGUGUGCUAGGAAUUUAAGUAUCUAUCUGCUUUUGUAUCUUUCUUUUUUUGAGAAAAUGCUUUUGUAUUUUCUAAGUACUGGUUGUGUUUAGUACUAUCAACUAUGUUUCAAUCCUGC
Molecule: long non-coding RNA, 633 nt
Filed under: Theobroma cacao (cacao)
Lineage: Eukaryota; Viridiplantae; Streptophyta; Magnoliopsida; Malvales; Malvaceae
Description: long non-coding RNA (TCAC_LNC000697)
Source: RNAcentral